Molecule: ribosomal RNA, 433 nt
Filed under: uncultured bacterium
Lineage: Bacteria
Description: partial 16S ribosomal RNA
Rfam family: Bacterial small subunit ribosomal RNA
Source: RNAcentral
GACGAACGCUGGCGGCGUGCCUAACACAUGCAAGUCGAACGAGACCUUCGGGUCUAGUGGCGCACGGGUGCGUAACGCGUGGGAACCUGCCCUUAGGUUCGGAAUAACUCCCCGAAAGGGGUGCUAAUACCGGAUAAUGUCUUCGGACCAAGAGUUUAUCGCCUUUGGGUGGGCCCGCGUUGGUUUAGCUAGUUGGUAGGGUAAAAGCCUACCAAGGCGACGAUCCAGAGCUGGUCUGAGAGGAUGAUAAGCCACACUGGGACUGAGACACGGCCCAGGCUGCUACGGGAGGCAGCAGUGGGGAAUAUUGGACAAGGGGCGAAAGCCUGAUCCAGCAAUGCCGCGUGAGUGAUGAAGGCCUUAGGGUUGUAAAGCUCUUUUACCCGGGAUGAUAAUGACAGUACCGGGAGAAUAAGCUCCGGCUAACUACGUG